This 503-nucleotide ribosomal RNA is filed under the name uncultured bacterium. RNAcentral describes it as "bacterial SSU rRNA". It matches the Rfam family "Bacterial small subunit ribosomal RNA", at positions 28 to 523 of the family's 1533-position model. The record is from RNAcentral.
GAUGAACGCUAGCGACAGGCUUAACACAUGCAAGUCGAGGGGCAGCAUAGAAGUAGCAAUACUUUGGUGGCGACCGGCGCACGGGUGAGUAACGCGUAUGCAACCUACCUAUCAGAGGGGAAUAACCCGGCGAAAGUCGGACUAAUACCGCAUAAAACAGGGGCACCGCAUGGUGAUAUUUGUUAAAGAAAUUCGCUGAUAGAUGGGCAUGCGUUCCAUUAGGUAGUUGGUGAGGUAACGGCUCACCAAGCCGACGAUGGAUAGGGGAACUGAGAGGUUGGUCCCCCACACUGGUACUGAGACACGGACCAGACUCCUACGGGAGGCAGCAGUGAGGAAUAUUGGUCAAUGGGCGGGAGCCUGAACCAGCCAAGUCGCGUGAAGGAAGAAGGAUCUAUGGUUCGUAAACUUCUUUUGCAGGGGAAUAAAGUGCAGGACGUGUCCUGUUUUGUAUGUACCCUGAGAAUAAGGAUCGGCUAACUCCGUGCCAGCAGCCGCGGUAA